Molecule: unclassified non-coding RNA, 400 nt
Filed under: fungal sp.
Lineage: Eukaryota; Fungi
Description: partial internal transcribed spacer region
Rfam family: Eukaryotic small subunit ribosomal RNA (bases 1-46)
Source: RNAcentral
AAGUCGUAACAAGGUUUCCGUAGGUGAACCUGCGGAAGGAUCAUUAACACGUAUCCACGUAUCAACCAACUGCGAACCUGUUCUCACCUCUCCCUGCCGGUUACAUGAAUUGGAAUUGAGGGUGCAUUUUUAUGAUGGGGCUAGCCCAAAUGCACUCACUACCACCUGUCGCAGCAAUGCGACUGACAAUUGGAGUAACAGUCAGGCCAACCUUCUGCUAUCGCCUCGUACCGUCAUUUCGAGCGAUAGUGGGAACACACAUACUCACCUAUUUCACCCCCCUUUUUGCUAGUUGACUUUUAUAUGUUGUCUCAGUGCGGUACGCUCGUAUUCGCUGGAACACACGUUUAUUAUUUGAACGUUAAAAUUACAACUCUUAGCAAUGGAUAUCUUGGUUCUC